Molecule: ribosomal RNA, 1455 nt
Filed under: uncultured bacterium
Lineage: Bacteria
Description: bacterial SSU rRNA
Rfam family: Bacterial small subunit ribosomal RNA
Source: RNAcentral
AGGGUUUGAUCCUGGCUCAGGAUGAACGCUGGCGGCGUGUCUAAGGCAUGCAAGUCAAACGAAUCCUUUUUAGGAUAAAGUGGCAAACGGGUGAGUAACACAUUAAUAAUCUGCCCUUGAGACGAGGAUAACUUUGUGAAAACAAAGCUAAUACUCGAUGGUCUCACACCCUUUGAAGGGGUUUGAGUAAAGCUUUUGCGCUCAAGGAGGAGUUUAUGGCUCAUCAGGUAGUUGGUAAGGUAAAGGCUUACCAAGCCUAUGACGAGUAGCGGGUGUUAGAGCACUGCCCGCCUCAUUGGAACUGAGACACUGUCCAACCUCCUACGGGAGGCUGCAGUUAAGAAUCUUCCUCAAUGGCCGAAAGGCUGAAGGAGCAACGCCGCGUGCAUGAAGACGCUCUUCGGAGUGUAAAGUGCUUUUCUGAAGGAAAAAGCUUUUUAGUUGAUGGUACUUCAGGAAUAAGCCGCCGCUAACUUCGUGCCAGCAGCUGCGGUAAUACGGAGGCGGCAAGCGUUAUCCGGAUUCACUGGGCAUAAAGGGUACGUAGGCGGUUUAGCAAGUUUUUGGUUAAAGCCUUUUGCUUAACAUUAGGACUGCCAAGAAAACUGCUAAACUAGAGGCCGGAAGAGGUAAGCGGAACUGCCGGUGUAGGGGUUAAAUCCGUUAAUAUCGGCAGGAACACCAAAAGCGAAGGCAGCGCACUGGGAAUGUACUGACGCUCAUGGACGAAAGCGUGGGGAGCGAACGGGAUUAGAUACCCCGGUAGUCCACGCCGUAAACGAUGGAUACUCGGUGUCAGGGGACUCGACCCCUCUGGUGCCCAAGCUAACGCAUUAAGUAUCCCGCCUGGGGAGUACGGUCGCAAGAUUAAAACUCAAAGGAAUUGACGGGGACCCACACAAGCGGUGGAGCAUCUGGCUUAAUUCGAUAAUGAGCGAGGAACCUCACCUAGGCUUGACAUCCCGAGAAUUUUCUAGAAAUAGAAAAGUGCCUUCUGGAACUCGGUGACAGGUGCUGCAUGGUUGUCGUCAGCUCGUGCCUUGAGGUGUUCGGUUAAGUCCGUGAACGAGCGCAACCCAUGUCCUGUGUUGUUUUUUCACAGGAGACUGCCGAUUCAAAGUCGGAGGAAGGUAUGGACAACGUCAAAUCAGCAUGGCCCUUAUGCCUAGGGCUGCACAGGUGCUACAAUGGCCAAUACAGUAGGUAGCAAUAUCGUAAGAUGGAGCCAAUCCUUAAAGUUGGUCUAAGUUCGGAUUGAGGGCUGCAAUUCGCCCUCAUGAAGUUGGAAUCGCUAGUAACCGUGAAUCAGCAAUAUCACGGUGAAUAUGUUCCUGGGUCUUGUACUCACCGCCCGUCACACUACGGAAGGUGGAGGCGCCCGAAGUACCCUUAGCUUUGAGCGGGGUCCUAAGGUGAAAUCACUGACUGGAGUGAAGUCGUAACAAGGUAGCCGAA